GUUUCUCAGGAUAUUUUUAACUUGCAGAGACAGGUACAGUAACUACUGUAAUUUAUAUUAACAAUAUAUAUAUAUUAACAAAAUUUUAUUUUAGUUAAUCUUGCUGAUGCAAUAAUUUUAAAUUAAAAAUUUGUCAAAUAAAUAAAGCAUGAAUUUGACUUUGUUGAAAACCUUCAGCUAUUUAUAGCUUGUAAACAAGUAAAGUUUUCCCACCAAUGUAAUAUUGGUUGCUGAUGUUUUUGCCUGGCAUACAUCUCAUUCUGCCUAGCUGGGCUCAUGUUAAUGGACAAAUGCACCAUACUUUAAUAUUUUACUUUGCCUGAUACCAGACAAAGUAAAAUCUACACAGAGAGAGUUGCAAAUUAAUGAAUGAAUAUAUUUUACAUGAACCUUGAACACCUACUUUUAUAGAGAUUAGGGAGUGGUCAUUAUUUAUGGGGAGGGGGGGGGAAUGGGGAAAAGAAGAAUUGAAAACUUUUUUGACCCCCCCCCUCCAGACUGAAGGCAAACUUUUUGUGCCUCCCCCCUCAUAAAAGUAGAAACUUUUCUGACCCCCCCAGCGUGGAUUGAAAAAUUAACAGCAAUGAAACAGGUGUGUGUUGCAGGUAAAGUUAGAUAUUAGGACAAUCUGUUUAAUCUAGCUCAUGAUACUUUACCCUGGUGAAUACGAUUCAACCAUAUGUGAUUAAAAAUAUAUAUUAUGUGUUACUACUUUACAAUGCAACAUUUGUCCUACCCUAACCCAUGACCUGUCUUCAUACAGCGAAAUGACUUGAACACAGGGUUUUUUAAGACUUUGUCUGGGGGGUGGGCAUCUACAAAAAGGGACCAUACUAUAUUGAGUGUGGAGAGAUGACAGAUGGUUGUUGGUGAGAAAAAGUUUGGUGUGAUAUUGUAUGUACUAGUAAGGGGGUCUGGGGGAAUUCUCCCCCAGAAAAUUUUUUGUAGUUUUCCACCCCUAGAACUGAAAUGUGAGCAUUUUCUGAAACAGAUUUUUGGAUAUACAGCGUUACAUUGUGCGUUGAUAGACCGAAUCUGAUCAGUGAAGUGUACUUGCAUGGUAUGUUUAUGUAAAUACCACAACUGGGUCACUCAGGGGGUAGAAAGCUUGUUAAACGUAGUGGGCCCAACUCCCACGAUUGCGAGGCGCAACCAUGGUUGGCACCGACCAGGGAAAUUUUGAAAAUUUUGAGUCUCUAGAUCGUUGGAAAUAGCAUUUUCAAAGUCUUCCUUUUUGGUAUUUGUGAUUAUAGAAAUCAGAACUCUAGACAUGGUAUUUAAGUUCCAAAACUUUUAUGACCCCCCCUUUCUCUGUGUUAAAACUUUUUUAACCCCCCUAUUUAUAAGGGUAAAACUUCGUUUGCCCCCCUCCCAUUCCCUCCCCCCCUCCUCCCCAUAAAUAAAGACCACUCCCUUAGUACUGUAACUUGCUUUGAAGGGAUAGGGAUACCAUUUGUUUGUGUGAACUGAGUAUGUUAUUGUAUUUCUUAGUGCAAGACAUAGAUGCAUUUUGACCUAACUAAAUCCAAUUGAGUUUACAUCAGACAUUUGCAAAUACUUUUCCCAACCCAUUGCCAAUGUUUGUAUUUUUUAAAGGCAAAAAUAAACUAAAUAGCCUCUAUCUCUACAUAUAACUAUGAUAUAAAUCAUCUAAUUAUUUAUCAUUUGCCGUUACUAUACCCAGGAUUCCAGAGCCUUCGUAAAUAAUAAAUUGAAAUGUCGCGUAGGCUCUGGUUCAACAGGGCGAUUCUUUGAUUAAGCCUCGCCAAUCACAAAACAGAUUUCGUGGUUUUAGUGGAGAAUCUGUACUAAAACCACUAAUUCUGUUUUGUGAUUGGCACGGUUGAAUCAAAGAAUCUCCCCGUUGAACCAGAGCCUUCGCGACGUUUCAAUCUGCACUAAAACCACUAAUUCUGUUUUGUGAUUGGCGCGGUUUAAUCAAAGAAUCUCCCCGUUGAACCCGGAGCCUUCGCGACGUUGCAAUUUAUUAUUUACUGUCGAAGGCUCUGGAAUCCAGGGCAGGGGACCGUUACUACUAUUAUAGCACUAUUCCAUGGCUAUACUAUUGACCAAUAUUUUUAACCAAUAAGCUAAAACUAAUUGCCUUGUGCCCAGGGGUCUGCCUACUAGCCCCAAAACAUGUUUCCUCUGCCAAUUUUUUAAUUUUUAAUACUCAUCGGAUAAUUCAUCAGACUCAAUAUUUGACUGUCUGUGCAGUGUAGGUAGUGUCAAUUAAUAUAGACAAAGUAAUUUUCGUUGGUAUGAAUGGAAUUACCUGAAAAAUAUUAGAAGAAACUCAACGUUUCAUGCGAAGGCCCUUCGUUAGCGCGCAGUUAGUCGAAGGUGACAAAUGGCCUUCGCUCAAAACGUCGAGUUUCUCCUUAUAUUUUUCAAAUAGUUGCAUUCCUACUAACGAAAGUUUUCUUCAUCUAAGUACUUUCCCUAGAAAUUGCUUUUUACCAAAUUACUGACAUCCAAUAUUGCAUUGCACUCUUGAUGAUGUUAAUACAUCAAAUACUCAUCAGAGGCCAGUUGUUCAAAGCUGGAUUAACUCAACCCUAAGUUAACCUAAAAUUCAAAGCAAACUUCCUGACAGCUUGUUUAUAAAUUUGGAAAUAUUUCUUUAGAAAUCUUGUCUGGAUCAGUAUAGGAGUUUGCUUCUUUGAAGUUUUGAAACAGAAAAACUAAAACAGCGGUGACGUACAGCAGGUUAAAUUUUAACCCAAGAUUAGCGCUAAUCCAGCUUUGGACAACUGGCCCCAGGAAUGUAACUGUUUACAUAAACAAAAUCCUAUACAGAUAUGAUAUAUAAUUAUAUAUGCUUUAAAAAUAAAUGUUUUCAGUAUUGUUCUGGAGGUUAGCACUUGGCAUGUGGGAUCUGAUUGUAAAAGUGCUGCACUUUGGAUUGCACACUAAUACUGUAGUUGCAUUUUUUGCAAUGAUUUUCAGAAAUUUUUCCUCUCUCAAAAAUCUGUCCAGGAAACUUUAUUCAAUAGUUUUUUUCUAUUUUUGUUUUUAGGUGUUAGCUGAACUUCACAUAAUUAUAAUCAAGUAAAAUCUGUAAGUAAUAUCAUAUGUAAUUCUAUCACUUCUAUGUAGUUAGAUGCGUAUUGUCUUGUGUCAGGUCAGAUCGAUAUAGGCUGAACUGGUUUGAGAAAUAACUGAAACCAAUACACUGAUUAUCAAACUGAAAUCUUAGAUAUCUUUGAAAUUAAGAAUCAAAAUAGUUAAGUAAACAAAUUAUUACGGCAUAAUUCCAGGUCCAGUAUUGACAUGUGUUAGCUGCCGUUGUAACUCAUCGUGAUUAAUUAAAUUAAUGAUAUUAUUCCUUGUUCUACCUCAAGAAUGGGGGUCCUCUGCAUGCUCUGGUGCCGAGUUGUGUCAGUCAUGUGUGCCGCCCGCAUCAAUCCAUCCCUAGCUAGAGAGCUUGUACACUUUGUUAUGUUAUUUGUAGUGUAGUGGUUCAGGGGGGGGGAGGAUUUAGUUGCUACAAUAUAAGAGAAUUCCCUAUAUAUAAAUGCUUCCCUUUUAUUAGCCCCUGCUGUAUGAAACCCCAAAUCUGUAUAAAGUUCACUGCUUUAGGGGCUUUGGUGGUGCAAUCGUCAGAGCAAGCAUUAUUCACCUCUGAGAUUGUCCUCACAUUGGACUAAAGACACUUAUGUGAAAAGAGUUAGUCAACACUCUACCAAACGUCUGGUUUCCUACCACAGGGAAUGUUGACAGAGUGGGUUGGGAUUAGCCCCUAACUGACACUUCCACCAUACCUGUGCACCAUGACCAGACAUCAGUCAUAAGGUGGCUGCCAGAGUGCCCUUAGUGAGCCUUUGACUCGAUCAUAUGAUAACACUUAUGUUAUGACUCGAUCAUAGGAUAACACUUAUGUGCGCCAACAUGGCUGCCAACAGAAUCUUGAAGCUGCUCAUUAUUUCAAAUGUUUUUAUACUUUUAACGCAUGCUUAUGAGCCUAAAGUACACAGAGCACUUCCUAAAAACACAAUGUUGAAGGAUUGGACUGGAUUGUCAAUGGAUGGAUCAUUUUCAGAAAGAUAUGAACUCAUUUUGCCAGUGAGAUCGCAUAUAGUAAUAUUGCGGUCAAGUCUUGAAUCGAAAUUCAAAAUCGCGCGAGCUAUUACCAAGUGUACGAAGGACGGAUCCACAAGUCUCGUACUGCCAAGGAAACCUUUCAAAGAGGACUUGACUAUAUGCGCUGAUAUAUCACCAAAUCCUGGCCCUGUGAAGUCAAACGACAGCGUUUCGAAUGUAACAUCAAACCAGCGUUUAUCACAGCCCACGACGCCGAACUCUCAUAUCGCCUUAACUCACGUUUACAAACCAUCAUUUCUUCGUUCCUUCCGCCUUUCGCCUUUGUCGAAGCAUAUAGACCACAAUAUAUAUAAUUACAUUCGUACCCUUGGCAUUUUAAAACCUUUCCGCGGUCGCCGCAGUGGAAGAAAAGUUAAAAUACGCAAUAUGACACGGAACUAUAAUCACGUUCAUGGUCACAAUAACAAACGCAAAAUUAGCAUAUCUUCGCAUCAUAUUAAUAGCGUGCCUAAUACAUGUAACAUUUUCCCAAUCCCUGCUGGAGAAACCUCAACCGAUUCGCGACUAUUGAAAGAGACACCGUCUAAAGAGUUUGUCCCAAGCCUAAUGUUAACCAAUGUGAUGUCUCUUGCUCCCCAAAUCGACGAAGUCAGUCUUUUCCUUCUGAACAAAAAUCCCGAUGUAGUAUUUAUCACAGAGACCUGGCUUACAAAUGCUAUCGAUAAAAGCCAUAUCAAUAUUCCCGAAUAUAACGUUGUUUGUAAAAACCGAUCCUCUGGUAGUCACGGUGGCGUUUGUUUAUACUUGAGGAACUCGAUCAGUUACGAAAUUUUAGAUCACUUUCACAACGCCGAAACUGAAGUUCUUUGGGUUAAAAUUAGACCAACCAGACUUCCUCGAGGAUUCCCAUGUAUAAUUACUGGUACCUUAUAUCAUCCCCCAAGUUCGGACAAUAACAUGAUGUUAGAAUACCUUGCAAAGUCUCUUACGGACAUAGAAGGUCAUUAUCCUGGGUGUGGAAUAAUUUUAGCUGGCGACUUUAACCGUCUCAAUGUAAGCAGACUGUCUCGUCAGUUCCGAAUGAAACAACUUGUUCAUCUACACACAAGAGGCGAUCAAACACUAGACCUUAUCCUCACCAAUCUCAAUAAAUACUAUGACAAAAACUCCCUUUCAUCCUUCCCUCCGUUCGGCCUAUCCGACCACAAUGUUUUACUGUUAAAUCCGAAAGAAAGGCGGCUGUUUUCAUCUCGGGAUAGGAAAAAAGUUUUUUGGAAACGCGACACAAGGGAAAUUCGGAAACAAGAAUUGGGACGGUACCUUAGCUCCCUAAACUGGGACAUACUCAACGAUAUUAAGUCGUGCAAUAGGAAAGAACAAUUAUUUGAGGACUUAAUUAAAACUGGACUGGAUAUAAUAAUGCCACUAAAGAAAACAAAAUUACACACCAACAAUCAACCUUGGAUAACACCUGAAUUUAUCACCCUGAUUAAACGCCGACAGGAAGCUUUCGCUCAGAAAAAAAUGUCAGAAUUUCGUCACUACAGAAACCUUGUAAACCGAGAGAGAAAGCGUUUACGUGACAACUACUUUUCCACGAAAGUAAUCCAUCUAAAGGGUGCCAAACCGUCUGUUUGGUGGCGUGAACUGAAGCGUAUUUCAGGUAUGCAGCCCAACAGUAGCAACGUAAACAGUUUUACGCAGCUAAAAUUUAAUGAACAUGAUUAUAAAGGUAACCCAGAGGAAAUUGCAAACAGAAUAAACGAGUCCUUCUUACCACCCAUGCGUGAAUAUAAACCUCUGUCUAGCAACCCAUUCAACAAUGGUGAGUUUGGUCCAGACCUAGAGACUUUUGAAUUGACAGAACUAGAUACAUAUAACCUACUUAGGAGAAUUAAUCCUCGAAAAGCUAGCGGGCCUGAUGGUAUCCCAAACUGGUUGUGUAAAACGUAUGCCGAGAUACUCGCAAAACCAGUCUGUAAUAUUAUCAAUUCUUCUUUUGAUGAACAGAGAUUACCGUCAAUGUGGAAACAUGCUGACAUCAUCCCAGUCCCGAAGGUAAAACCAGCCACUGAUGUCAACAAACAUUUGCGACCGAUCUCCUUGACGCCAUCAAUCUCUAAAGUUGCAGAAGAAUUUGUGAUCACAAAGUACAUAGCGCCUGCUAUAAUGAAUACAUUAGAUCCGGAUCAGUACGGGGCCAUACCAAAGUCCUCUUCAGUGCUUGCCCUGAUCUCAAUGAUCCACGAAUGGUCCCAAGCUACAGACAAAUCUGGCGCAACAGUUAGAGUAACUCUUUUUGAUUAUAGAAAGGCAUUUGACCUAGUUGACCAUUCCAUCCUAAUUAAAAAACUUCAAAACCUGACGUCAUUACCCCGAAAGGUAUGCUCCUGGAUAACCGACUUUUUGUCCAACAGAUACCAAAGAGUGAAGCUUGCUGACGCCCUUUCGUCAUGGAGACACGUCCCCUCAGGAGUACCCCAAGGCACCAAGUUAGGCCCCUGGCUAUUUCUUCUAAUGGUGAAUGACCUACGUGUGAACAGCGUCAGUACGUGGAAGUUUGUUGACGACACGACAAUUUCGGAAAUCAUUCCAAAGAAUUCCCUUACCCACACUCAAUCCGCUACCACGUCUGUUGAGAAAUGGUCUGCAGACAACAAACUGCACUUGAACGCAGAAAAAUGCAAGGAGCUGAGGAUCGACUUUAAGCGUGUUCAUCAGGAGUUUGACCCAAUUAAAGUAGACAACGUUCCACUCAAAAUAGUGGACCACGCAAAAAUCCUGGGCCUGAUAGUCUCAAAAUCAUUACAAUGGAACCUCCAUGUCGACCAUGUCAUCAAGAAAGCGAACAAACGUCUGUAUUGUCUGGUCCAACUCAAACGUGCAAAUGUUCCUGAGGCAGAUAUUGUUAACUUUUAUUGUACCUGUAUUAGACCCACUCUCGAAUACGCAUCACCGGUAUUCCACCACUCUUUACCAAAGUACUUGUCUGACGAUCUUGAGCGAGUACAAAAACGAUCCUUGGCUAUAAUUUACAGAGGGCAGCCAUAUUCAGAGAGCCUGCAGCAAUCUGGACUAAACUCCUUAUCGGUCCGAAGACAAACACUGUGUGAAAAGCUUUUCCUUAAAAUAUCAACUGACAGUGACCAUAAACUCCAUGCACUGCUGCCGCCAAAACACCAAGCGAAAUAUAACUUAAGACACAAACGCCUCUAUGCUCUUCCAAUGACUAACACUAACCGCUUCAGGAACACUUUUGUGCCAUCUAUGAUAUAUUAUAAUAAUUUAGUAGGCUAACAUGUCUAAUAUUUAAAUUUAUAUACUAUUGUAAAAAUCUACGUAAUUCAGCCAAAGUGGCUGCAAAGUGGCUUUUAAUAAAAUAUCUAUCUAUCUAUCGCUCAGGUUGAGCUGCGUCCUUCGCAAUUCAGCUCUCAGCUGCAAGUAAGCAUGAUUAGUACCUAGUACAUGCAAGUAAGGAUGAUUAGAUCCUAACUCCAUUCCUAGUACACCCCCAAUUACUCACUUACUUACUUAACAGGUUAUAAAAUUAAUGGAUUAUUGUAGGUUUAUGUAGAUGGAAAUGUUGAGUGUACAUUUUAUACAUUUAUUAGACCUAACCAGGAGUAUUUGCAAAACUGUAGGCCCUCUAGGAAACAGACAUGUGGCCCUGUGAAUGCAAUUCCAGUGCAGUGCUCUAAGCUGUACUUUGGUACAUGCAAAUUUUGAGUAUAAAUUUUAUAUGUUUAUCCAGGAGCAGUUGCAAAAAGUGCAACUAUGGGCCAGGCUCUGGCAGGAAUGGACCUGUGGCCCAUGACCUUGCAGCUAGGGCUCUACAACAAGAAUCUUUAGCUAGCAUGGCUUAAUUGCCUGAUUCUCGAAAUUUCAUCUAUAAAAAACCUUCAACACUUAGUUCUAUCGAGUGAGAUGCCCUAAAUCCUGAUAACAAUAUUCGUUUCAUGUUUCAAAUUUUGUUUUUAAUAUUUAUUAGCCAUCAACACAAACGAGAAAACCGUUUUGGUUCCAAACUGUAGAAUUCCAGUUGAUGUUGUGAGGAAUGAAAGAUGAUGUCAACCAAUAAUGAACUAUCAGAUGCUCAGCGUAUGUCAUUGCAUGCCAUUAUGUUUUCGAGGC
Molecule: long non-coding RNA, 8175 nt
Filed under: Paramuricea clavata
Lineage: Eukaryota; Metazoa; Cnidaria; Anthozoa; Malacalcyonacea; Plexauridae
Source: RNAcentral